RNAcentral lists this ribosomal RNA (249 nucleotides) under uncultured bacterium. RNAcentral's name for it is "partial 16S ribosomal RNA". It matches the Rfam family "Bacterial small subunit ribosomal RNA", at positions 84 to 334 of the family's 1533-position model. The record is from RNAcentral.
CGUGAUGGCGACCGGCGCACGGGUGAGUAACACGUAUCCAACCCGCCCUUUACUCGGGGAUAGCCUUUCGAAAGAAAGAUUAAUACCCGAUAGCAUAAUGAUUCCGCAUGGUUUCAUUAUUAAAGGAUUCCGGUAAAGGAUGGGGAUGCGUUCCAUUAGGUUGUUGGUGAGGUAACGGCUCACCAAGCCUUCGAUGGAUAGGGGUUCUGAGAGGAAGGUCCCCCACAUUGGAACUGAGACACGGUCCAA